GAUGAACGCUGGCGGCGUGCCUAAUACAUGCAAGUCGAGCGAACGGACGAGAAGCUUGCUUUUCUGAUGUUAGCGGCGGACGGGUGAGUAACACGUGGAUAACCUACCUAUAAGACUGGGAUAACUUCGGGAAACCGGAGCUAAUACCGGAUAAUAUUUUGAACCGCAUGGUUCAAAAGUGAAAGACGGUCUUGCUGUCACUUAUAGAUGGAUCCGCGCUGCAUUAGCUAGUUGGUAAGGUAACGGCUUACCAAGGCAACGAUGCAUAGCCGACCUGAGAGGGUGAUCGGCCACACUGGGACGGAGACACGGUCCAGACUCCUACGGGAGGCAGCAGUGGGGAAUCUUCCGCAAUGGGCGAAAGCCUGACGGAGCAACGCCGCGUGAGUGAUGAAGGUCUUCGGAUCGUAAAACUCUGUUAUUAGGGAAGAACAGAUGUGUAAGUAACUGUGCACAUCUUGACGGUACCUAAUCAGAAAGCCACGGCUAACUACGUG
RNAcentral lists this ribosomal RNA (497 nucleotides) under uncultured bacterium. Its description in RNAcentral is "partial 16S ribosomal RNA". It matches the Rfam family "Bacterial small subunit ribosomal RNA", at positions 28 to 507 of the family's 1533-position model. The record is from RNAcentral.